Molecule: long non-coding RNA, 1275 nt
Filed under: Homo sapiens (human)
Lineage: Eukaryota; Metazoa; Chordata; Mammalia; Primates; Hominidae
Description: HSALNT0248123
Source: RNAcentral
UGGGCCUUGGUGACCGCAUAGCCCACACAUGUGAAGGAGACCAAGGUGGUGAUUGCCCUGAAGUCUCAAUUAUCUGACGCGUCUAAGAAGACUUGAUGAUUUUCAGUUUGUUCUGUUCUCUUCUUGCCACGGUGAUGGGGGUGAUGACUUCCAUGAUCCUCAGAUGCUGGAGCCGGAGCCAGAAGUUUAUGCCUUUGGUUUUGUAAACUGUUCUCAUUCAUUGUCUUUGUUACUAAAGCACCACUGAGUAAAUGUUGACUGAUCAAAAUGUCUCUCAGUAUAUGUCUGUCCGCUCAUAUUGAAGAGUGAGGCACUAAAGAGCUUGUUGGAAGCUGGGUGUGUGGUUGGUUAAAUAAUGGAAUUCUUGUGGGAUUACUGAUUGGGAACCAAAUGAUUUCUUUGAGGGACCCCAAACACCAGUAUCUGUUACUCUCUGUGCCUGUCAGUUUCUCUGAGAGGACUUUACAGUCUUCUGUCUUUGGGCCAGAAGGCUGCUGCCAGGAUUUUGAGUUCUGAGUAGGGAAAGUAGACUGUGGGACUCAAUUUUUUUUGGUGUUUUUGCAUUUAGCCCCUUACCUUGUCCCUCCUUUUUUCUGUGCCUGGUGUUCUGAGGCCCAGAUCCCAUAGGCCUGAUUUUGUUUUUUCUCAAAGAGUAAAUCUUUUGUAUUCUGCCUGGUCAGAGUAGGUGACUUUGGGGAAUGAACUGCCCUUUACUUCAUACCUUCUACCGGUUUUGCUGUUUCCAGCAUACCCCUCUUUAUCUUCAACAUUGGUUGAUGCCUAUAAUUUCUAAUACUUUAUGGGGCAUAGUUUUACUUGCUGCUUUCUGGCUUUGCUUUUUUAGGUAGUUGGUUUUAGCUUUCUUUACGUUGCUGUAUCACUUGCACCUGUCCAUGUGCUUUUUCUAUUUUACCUUUUUUUUUUUUUUUUUUUUUUUUCAGACGGAGUCUCGCUCUGUUACCCAGGCUGGAGUGCAGUGGUGCGAUGUUGGCUCACCGCAAGCUCCGCCUCCCGGGUUCAUGCCAGUGUCCUGCCUCAGCCUCCCGAGUAGCUGGGACUACAGUCGCCCGCCACCACGCCCGGGUAAUUUUUUUUUUUUUUGUAUUUUUAUUAGAGAUGGGGUUUCACCGUGUUAGCCAGGAUUGUCUCGAUCUCCUGACCUCGUGAUCCACCCGCCUCGGCCCCCCAGAGUGCUGGGAUUACAGGUGUGAGCCACUGCACCCGGCCGGCCAGGCUGGUCUUAAACUCCUGACCUCGUGAUCCACCCACCUCGGC